Molecule: long non-coding RNA, 877 nt
Organism: Pararge aegeria (speckled wood butterfly)
Lineage: Eukaryota; Metazoa; Arthropoda; Insecta; Lepidoptera; Nymphalidae
Exons: 2
Source: RefSeq, a predicted model, not a curated record
AUAUAAAGCUUGGUAUCCUGUUUUGUAACAAUCAUAAGCUAGAACAAUGAGUUCCGCGACGUGGGUCGUCUCUUUCGUCGUACUUGUUAUUCUUAAUAUUACAGAAGCUCGUGUGUGCAGUUAUGGUGGCGGCUAUUCAGAUGGAUCGGCGGCAGUAUAUGUACCUGUGCCCAGCCUGCUGCCUCCUGUCCCCUUUGUACCACCAAUGCCAUACGUGUCGAGGAAAGACAACGAUCUGAAGGACAUUCUGCCGUGGCUGAUCCUCUUGCUGGGAUGAUAAAGGAUCGCUUUUCAAAACCUUUCGAAUAACGGUUAAUUUAUGGUUCUUUAAAUAAUCAAGGAAGUCAGUAUGCCAUAUGCCGUGUAGCAAUAUCUGUUAAUAUUAAUUAUAUUUAAUUCACUUUAAUUUUUGUGAGAUAAGUGUGAUCAGUUUUUAAGUUGAAGAUUUAUUUUAAUAACUUGCCCUUUCUGAUUAUGUGUGUUUCUCUAUGGUGUCAUAGCGAAGUGAAAUUAAAUAAUAAUCUGAUUUGUUUAAAUUAAUCUAUUUAAGUAUUAUGAAUUUCUUGCUGUUUGUAAUUUAUUAUUUUAUUUACCAUGAACGUUAUAAACUCAGGUCCGGCAACAUCUUUUGGAAGAUCAGCGUGCGAAAAAAAAUUACAAAUCAAUCUCCGUCUACACCAAGAUGUUUGCAGAUAAAACGGUAUUAAUAUUCGUAUAGAUUGGGAACAUAGUAUUACGGAUCAACGCGGACACUUUUCAACGCUUUUUAAAUACUGUGUUUUUUAAAUUUACUUUAGAGAUUUGUAUUAAUCUACGACAUAUCAGACAUAUCCUAGUUUAAUUUAACUUUAGUAAUAAAAUGUAUUUGUUGCCCUUG